UUCCGGUUGAUCCCGCCGGAGGUUACUGCUAUCGAGGUUCGACUAAGCCAUGCGAGUCGAAUGUAGCAAUACAUGGCGAACUGCUCAGUAACACGUGGACAACCUGCCCUUAGGUUGGGUAUAAACCCGGGAAACUGGGUAUAAUACCCGAUAGGUCUCGAUUGCUGGAAUGCAUCGAGAUUUAAAGCUCCGGCGCCUAAGGAUGGGUCUGCGGCCUAUCAGGUAGUAGUGGGUGUAGCGUACCUACUAGCCUACGACGGGUACGGGUUGUGAGAGCAAGAGCCCGGAGAUGGAUUCUGAGACACGAAUCCAGGCCCUACGGGGUGCAGCAGGCGCGAAAACUUUACAAUGCUGGCAACAGCGAUAAGGGAACCUCGAGUGCCAGGUUACAAAUCUGGCUGUCGAGAUGCCUAAAAAGCAUUUCAUAGCAAGGGCCGGGCAAGACCGGUGCCAGCCGCCGCGGUAACACCGGCGGCUCGAGUGGUAACCGUUAUUAUUGGGUCUAAAGGGUCUGUAGCCGGCCGGAUAAGUCUCUUGAGAAAUCUGGCAGCUUAACUGUCAGGCUUUCAGGAGAUACUGUCUGGCUCGAGGCCGGGAGAGGUGAGAGGUACUUCAGGGGUAGGGGUGAAAUCUUGUAAUCCCUGAAGGACCACCAGUGGCGAAGGCGUCUCACCAGAACGGACCUGACGGCAAGGGACGAAAGCUAGGGGCACGAACCGGAUUAGAUACCCGGGUAGUCCUAGCCGUAAACGAUACUCGCUAGGUGUCGGCCACGGUGCGACCGUUGUCGGUGCCGUAGGGAAGCCGUGAAGCGAGCCACCUGGGAAGUACGGCCGCAAGGCUGAAACUUAAAGGAAUUGGCGGGGGAGCACCACAACGGGUGGAGCUUGCGGUUUAAUUGGAUUCAACGCCGGACCUUUCG
Molecule: ribosomal RNA, 922 nt
Filed under: uncultured bacterium
Lineage: Bacteria
Description: bacterial SSU rRNA
Rfam family: Archaeal small subunit ribosomal RNA
Source: RNAcentral